Molecule: RNase P RNA, 298 nt
Filed under: Methanobacteriota archaeon
Lineage: Archaea; Methanobacteriati; Methanobacteriota
Also listed under: 1 other name
Description: Euryarchaeota archaeon (groundwater metagenome) RNase P RNA component
Rfam family: Archaeal RNase P
About the family: Ribonuclease P (RNase P) is a ubiquitous endoribonuclease, found in archaea, bacteria and eukarya as well as chloroplasts and mitochondria. Its best characterised activity is the generation of mature 5'-ends of tRNAs by cleaving the 5'-leader elements of precursor-tRNAs.
Source: RNAcentral
AGGAGAAAGGGAGCAGCCAACGGUGGUGCGUCUUCAACGACAAACUACUGAGGAAAGUCCUCUCUCCCAGGUGGUUAUCCACCUGAAACAUGGGUGGCCGGGGCAAUCCGGUGUGCCGAGAGGCAUGGCAAGGGCGCAGAAACGACACAGUCCGGUCGGAGCGAUGAUGGAAUUGUUCCUGAGCUGAGAAGACCGGGAUUUGGUGAGACGGCGACUCCCAUCCGGUGCAAGCCCAAAUUUGGUAGGGCGCUAAGUCGAAUGCUGCUUAGAAACAGAAAGAGGCUUACCACUUUCACCU